This is an RNA transcript of Juglans regia (Persian walnut), 2140 nucleotides long. It is a transcript of the gene named BTB/POZ domain and ankyrin repeat-containing protein NOOT2, with no coding region annotated. The transcript is spliced from 4 exons. NCBI's taxonomy places the organism in Eukaryota, Viridiplantae, Streptophyta, Magnoliopsida, Fagales, Juglandaceae. The record is from RefSeq and is a predicted model, not a curated record.
UUCUACUAACACAAAAACACCGCCAUCCCCACACACGCACUACACCACUCCAUUUGAGUCUUUGACACAAAGAAUCUCAUAAAAACACACAAUAGUGCCAUCAUCAACAAGAGAAGAGGAGCAAAUGAUCCCAAUCCUCUUCCUGUUUUCUUGCACUACUUCCUAAUAACUCUUCUGUUUCCACCUUUCUCUCCCCCUCUCUCUCUGAUCAGACACGCACUCCAGUAAGCACAAAAAGAGACGACGCAACCCUAAAACCAGAGACAAUUAACCAUGACCCUGGAUGACUCCCUAAGAUCCCUUUCCAUGGACUACCUCAACCUCCUCAUCAAUGGCCAAGCCUUCAGCGACGUAACCUUCAGCGUAGAGGGUCGUCUAGUCCACGCCCACCGAUGCAUCCUGGCGGCGCGGAGCCUCUUCUUUAGGAAAUUCUUUUGUGGGCCAGACCCGCCUUCCGGGCUGGAUCCAGCUGGGUCCAGAAUCAACCCAGCGGCGUCACCGGGCUCGAGGCCGGGCGUCAUACCGGUGAACGAGGUAGGAUACGAGGUGUUCUUGUUGCUGCUGCAGUUCUUGUACAGUGGCCAAGUCUCUAUUGUGCCUCAAAAGCAUGAGCCAAGGCCUAAUUGUGGGGAGAGAGGGUGCUGGCACACGCAUUGCACCUCAGCCGUUGAUCUUGCUCUCGACACUCUUGCUGCCGCUAGAUCCUUUGGUGUCGAACAGCUCGCAUUGCUCACUCAGAAGCAAUUGGCGAGCAUGGUGGAGAAAGCCUCAAUCGAAGAUGUAAUGAAAGUCCUACUAGCUUCAAGAAAGCAAGAGAUGCACCAGCUUUGGACCACAUGCUCCCACCUUGUUGCAAAAUCUGGCCUCCCUCCUGAAGUCUUAGCCAAGCACCUCCCCAUCGAUGUCGUGACCAAGAUUGAAGAGCUUCGCCUCAAAUCCUCUCUCGCCCGCCGCUCCCUCAUGCCCCACCACCACCACCAUCACCACCACCACCACCAAGAUCUUGGUGCAGCCGCCGAUCUCGAAGACCAAAAGAUCCGUCGUAUGAGACGGGCACUCGACUCGUCUGAUGUGGAACUUGUCAAGCUUAUGGUUAUGGGCGAAGGGCUAAAUCUCGAUGAGGCAUUAGCUUUGCAUUACGCAGUCGAAAAUUGUAGCCGAGAAGUUGUGAAAGCCUUGCUUGAGCUCGGUGCAGCAGAUGUUAAUUACCCUGCUGGACCGGCCGGGAAAACCCCACUUCACAUUGCGGCCGAAAUGGUGUCGCCCGACAUGGUGUCGGUCCUUCUCGACCACCAUGCCGACCCGAAUGUUCGGACCGUCGAUGGGGUUACUCCCCUCGACGUACUGAGAACCCUAACGUCCGAUUUCCUUUUCAAAGGAGCCGUCCCGGGGCUAGCACAUAUCGAACCCAACAAGCUCAGGCUUUGCCUUGAGCUGAUUCAAUCAGCAGCCCUCGUUCUUUCUCGUGAAGAAGGCAAUGCAAAUGCUCCUUCUUCCACCAACAUAUAUCCGCCAAUGAGCGAUGAUCAUAGCAGCGGUAGCAGUGGGAACAACAUGGCGAACCUUAACCUUGAUUCCAGGUUGGUUUAUCUCAAUCUGGGUGCGACGGCUUCAGGUCAAAUGGGAUCUAGAUCAAUGGAUGGAGAGGAUGAUAGCAGCCACAAUAGCCAGAGGGAGGGCAUGAACAGGCAUGGGUCGCAAGGUGGCUGUGGCCCAACAUUGGCGUACUUUUGGGUUUUUGUGGGCUUUUCAGUGAUCAGAAGAUGAAGUUCAGUUUCAUUGGAGAUGGAAGAUGAGACAAGGUGGAUCUGAGAUUUUGCACCGAGGAUACCCGACGGAGGAUAGACGCAGCAUGUCACAAUUGAAUUAUAAGCAGACAACAGGCUUUUAAUUAUUGGUUCGGUUAUGCUUGAGUGCCUUUCGAAAACCCUAAGGAGUCAAGGACCAAGGAAGCUUUAUAAAGCUUAUACAUGAUAGCUAGUUAUACGAGAAUUUGAUCUUAUCGUGUUCCAUUAAUCUUAAUUACCGUGUUCUAAAUGAGUUACUUUUGUAAACUAUAAUAUAUGAUCUCACAACACUAAAUAUAUAUCACGGCCCUCUAAUAGAUAGAUAGUCGUGUGAUCUACAAAUUAAUUAUCCG